UACGUAGGGUGCGAGCGUUAAUCGGAAUUACUGGGCGUAAAGCGUGCGCAGGCGGUUCGCCAAGUCAGGGGUGAAAUCCCCGGGCUUAACCUGGGAAUUGUGCUUGAAACUAGCGGGCUUGAGUGUGGCAGAGGGGGGUGGAAUUCCACGUGUAGCAGUGAAAUGCGUAGAGAUGUGGAGGAACACCGAUGGCGAAGGCAGCCCCCUUGGUCAACACUGACGCUCAUGCACGAAAGCGUGGGGAGCAAACAGG
Molecule: ribosomal RNA, 253 nt
Filed under: uncultured bacterium
Lineage: Bacteria
Description: partial 16S ribosomal RNA
Rfam family: Bacterial small subunit ribosomal RNA
Source: RNAcentral